CAACACUCGUCAAAUAAUUAAGCAUGGGAUAUUUGACAGGUCUUUGCAUAUAAAAGAACGUAGCUUCGAUGAUAGUUUCACAACACAAUGACGACAAUGAAGGUUCUGCUAACAGUGUUUCUUCUUUCAACAUUGAUUGGAAUAGGUUGUGCUAGGACCUGUAGUAGCGUAGGGGGAUAUUGCAGUAAUGGAAGAUGUGCUAGAGGGUACUACGUGGUAAGAGGUGUAAGCGGCUGCUGGAAUAGACAAACUUGUUGUGCUAAAAGCUAUAAUAACAACGGAUGGGAUGGGGAUGAUAGAUAUGAGAGGAAUGAUAGGAAUGAUAGAAAUGAUUGGGAUUAAGAUUUUGACCUGACGAAAAAGAUUGAAAGCAUUUUGAACUUGUAUGCAUAUGAAAAUUGUGUUCUUUGUUUCUAUUCCUUUGGUUUGUUGCAAAGAACUUUAUUAAACAUAUUUUUAUUGAU
Mytilus californianus (California mussel) is the source of this 464-nucleotide long non-coding RNA. RefSeq lists it as uncharacterized. NCBI's taxonomy places the organism in Eukaryota, Metazoa, Mollusca, Bivalvia, Mytilida, Mytilidae. The transcript has 3 exons. The record is from RefSeq and is a predicted model, not a curated record.